RNAcentral lists this ribosomal RNA (377 nucleotides) under uncultured eukaryote. RNAcentral's name for it is "partial 18S ribosomal RNA". It matches the Rfam family "Eukaryotic small subunit ribosomal RNA", at positions 592 to 976 of the family's 1831-position model. The record is from RNAcentral.
CAAUAGCGUAUAUUAAAGUUGUUGCAGUUAAAAAGCUCGUAGUUGGAUUUCGGGGUGGCCUGGCUGGUCCGCCGCAAGGUGAGUACUGGUCAGCCGCCCUUCCUCUCGAAAGCCCCGACUGCUCUUUACUGCAGUGGUCGGGUAGUUCGGGACGUUUACUUUGAAAAAAUUAGAGUGUUCAAGGCAGGCUAUCGCCUGAAUACAUUAGCAUGGAAUAAUGGAAGAGGACCUCGGUCCUAUUUUGUUGGUUUCUAGGGCCGAAGUAAUGAUUAAGAGGGACAGUUGGGGGCAUUCGUAUUUAAUUGUCAGAGGUGAAAUUCUUGGAUUUAUGAAAGACGAACUAGUGCGAAAGCAUUUGCCAAGGAUGUUUCCAUUAA